Molecule: small nuclear RNA, 44 nt
Organism: Pongo abelii (Sumatran orangutan)
Lineage: Eukaryota; Metazoa; Chordata; Mammalia; Primates; Hominidae
Gene: U7
Rfam family: U7 small nuclear RNA
About the family: Animal histone pre-mRNAs are spliced by a different mechanism than nuclear pre-mRNAs and self-splicing introns. This processing involves the U7 snRNP, which contains only one RNA species: U7.
Source: Ensembl
AGAAUUUGUCUAGCAGGUUUUCUGGUCUUCACUGGAAAGCCCCU